This 594-nucleotide ribosomal RNA is filed under the name uncultured bacterium. RNAcentral's name for it is "bacterial SSU rRNA". The stretch from base 1 to 516 matches the Rfam family "Bacterial small subunit ribosomal RNA", at positions 338 to 873 of the family's 1533-position model. The record is from RNAcentral.
CCUACGGGAGGCAGCAGUGGGGAAUAUUGGACAAUGGGGGCAACCCUGAUCCAGCCAUGCCGCGUGAGUGAUGAAGGCCUUCGGGUUGUAAAGCUCUUUUGGCGGGGACGAUGAUGACGGUACCCGCAGAAUAAGCCCCGGCUAACUUCGUGCCAGCAGCCGCGGUAAGACGAAGGGGGCUAGCGUUGUUCGGAAUUACUGGGCGUAAAGCGAGUGUAGGUGGUUUUCCAAGUUGGGUGUGAAAGCCUUGGGCUUAACCCAAGAAAUGCAUUCAGGACUGGAAGACUAGAGGACCGGAGAGGAUAGUGGAAUUCCCAGUGUAGUGGUGAAAUACGUAGAGAUUGGGAAGAACACCAGUGGCGAAGGCGGCUAUCUGGACGGUUUCUGACACUAAGACUCGAAAGCGUGGGGAGCAAACAGGAUUAGAUACCCUGGUAGUCCACGCCGUAAACGAUGGGUGCUAGACGUUGGCGAGCUGUCUCGCCAGUGUCGCAGCUACGUACGUACGCACCCGCCGUCGGGAGGUACGGCCGCGAGUAGAACGUACAAUAGAUAGACGCGNGAGACGUGCGACGGCGACGACGAGGGAGUAGG